Molecule: ribosomal RNA, 1522 nt
Filed under: metagenome
Description: bacterial SSU rRNA
Rfam family: Bacterial small subunit ribosomal RNA
Source: RNAcentral
AGAGUUUGAUCAUGGCUCAGAUUGAACGCUGGCGGCAGGCCUAACACAUGCAAGUCGAACGGUAACAGGAAACAGCUUGCUGUUUCGCUGACGAGUGGCGGACGGGUGAGUAAUGUCUGGGAGACUGCCUGAUGGAGGGGGAUAACUACUGGAAACGGUAGCUAAUACCGCAUAACGUCGCAAGACCAAAGAGGGGGACCUUCGGGCCUCUUGCCAUCAGAUGUGCCCAGAUGGGAUUAGCUAGUAGGUGGGGUAACGGCUCACCUAGGCGACGAUCCCUAGCUGGUCUGAGAGGAUGACCAGCCACACUGGAACUGAGACACGGUCCAGACUCCUACGGGAGGCAGCAGUGGGGAAUAUUGCACAAUGGGCGCAAGCCUGAUGCAGCCAUGCCGCGUGUAUGAAGAAGGCCUUCGGGUUGUAAAGUACUUUCAGCGGGGAGGAAGGGAGUAAAGUUAGUACCUUUGCUCAUUGACGUUACCCGCAGAAGAAGCACCGGCUAACUCCGUGCCAGCAGCCGCGGUAAUACGGAGGGUGCAAGCGUUAAUCGGAAUUACUGGGCGUAAAGCGCACGCAGGCGGUUUGUUAAGUCAGAUGUGAAAUCCCCGGGCUCAACCUGGGAACUGCAUCUGAUACUGGCAAGCUUGAGUCUCGUAGAGGGGGGUAGAAUUCCAGGUGUAGCGGUGAAAUGCGUAGAGAUCUGGAGGAAUACCGGUGGCGAAGGCGGCCCCCUGGACGAAGACUGACGCUCAGGUGCGAAAGCGUGGGGAGCAAACAGGAUUAGAUACCCUGGUAGUCCACGCCGUAAACGAUGUCGACUUGGAGGUUGUGCCCUUGAGGCGUGGCUUCCGGAGCUAACGCGUUAAGUCGACCGCCUGGGGAGUACGGCCGCAAGGUUAAAACUCAAAUGAAUUGACGGGGGCCCGCACAAGCGGUGGAGCAUGUGGUUUAAUUCGAUGCAACGCGAAGAACCUUACCUGGUCUUGACAUCCACGGAAGUUUUCAGAGAUGAGAAUGUGCCUUCGGGAACCGUGAGACAGGUGCUGCAUGGCUGUCGUCAGCUCGUGUUGUGAAAUGUUGGGUUAAGUCCCGCAACGAGCGCAACCCUUAUCCUUUGUUGCCAGCGGUCCGGCCGGGAACUCAAAGGAGACUGCCAGUGAUAAACUGGAGGAAGGUGGGGAUGACGUCAAGUCAUCAUGGCCCUUACGACCAGGGCUACACACGUGCUACAAUGGCGCAUACAAAGAGAAGCGACCUCGCGAGAGCAAGCGGACCUCAUAAAGUGCGUCGUAGUCCGGAUUGGAGUCUGCAACUCGACUCCAUGAAGUCGGAAUCGCUAGUAAUCGUGGAUCAGAAUGCCACGGUGAAUACGUUCCCGGGCCUUGUACACACCGCCCGUCACACCAUGGGAGUGGGUUGCAAAAGAAGUAGGUAGCUUAACCUUCGGGAGGGCGCUUACCACUUUGUGAUUCAUGACUGGGGUGAAGUCGUAACAAGGUAACCGUAGGGGAACCUGCGGUUG